GCCCGGGUGGUGGAACGGUAGACACGGCGGACUUAAAAUCCGCGGGCGCAAGCCGUGCAGGUUCGAGUCCUGCCCCGGGCACCA
This 84-nucleotide transfer RNA is filed under the name Burkholderiales bacterium. RNAcentral describes it as "tRNA-Leu". It matches the Rfam family "tRNA". Rfam says of the family: Transfer RNA (tRNA) molecules are approximately 80 nucleotides in length. Lineage: Bacteria; Pseudomonadati; Pseudomonadota; Betaproteobacteria; Burkholderiales. The record is from RNAcentral.